GGUCAUGUAGUGUAAUUGGCUAACACACCAUCCUUGCAAGAUGGAAUUGGGGUUCAAGUCCCACAUGUAUCCA
This 73-nucleotide transfer RNA is filed under the name Crassvirales sp. Its description in RNAcentral is "tRNA-Ala". The stretch from base 4 to 67 matches the Rfam family "tRNA". From Rfam's summary of the family: Transfer RNA (tRNA) molecules are approximately 80 nucleotides in length. Their secondary structure includes four short double-helical elements and three loops (D, anti-codon, and T loops). Further hydrogen bonds mediate the characteristic L-shaped molecular structure. tRNAs have two regions of fundamental functional importance: the anti-codon, which is responsible for specific mRNA codon recognition, and the 3' end, to which the tRNAs corresponding amino acid is attached (by aminoacyl-tRNA synthetases). tRNAs cope with the degeneracy of the genetic code in two manners: having more than one tRNA (with a specific anti-codon) for a particular amino acid; and 'wobble' base-pairing, i.e. permitting non-standard base-pairing at the 3rd anti-codon position. The record is from RNAcentral. Lineage: Duplodnaviria; Heunggongvirae; Uroviricota; Caudoviricetes; Crassvirales.